CACCCAAACCUGAAACUUGAUUAUGUUGGUCAUCUCAAAGUCCUCAAUCCAAACCAAAAUCUCAACGAAGUUGGACUCUAAGUCCAUGUUAGUUACAUACAGCCCAGUUGAAACCAAAUAGACUGAAAACUACUUCCAUCUUUGUGCUAGCAAACACCAAACAAGCUCAACAUGAGUGAGCUGACCAAUAUCAACUGGCAGACAAAGUACUCAGCUGAAUACUCCAAAAAAGAAAAGCUUGAGUACAAUCAUUGUUUAGGAUCUCAGUCAUUUGUUGCAACAAUGACUAUACCGGUAACUAACAGGAGAGGAGCUGCGGAGGCAAUUGGAGCAGAAGAGGAGAGAGCAUGAGGAGGAAAGGAAAGAGCGAGAGGAAGAACAUAAGCAAAUUGCACAUCUUACAAGUUUGGUGACAAAGUUCUUAAAGAAAAAGACUCAAACACACAAGUCAUCUAUCCAUCAUGAUGGGGCCAUGUAUUCAACUAGUGGUACAAAUACUCGUUGAUACAUGGUGGAGUUAUGAGCAUGUGAAAUCUAGUUUUUGGUACAUGGAUAGCUUUUGUUCAUAUGAUCAUGGUGAAGUUGUCUACAAGCAGAAUCCAGUUUUUGGUAUAAGAAUAUUUUUGUCUAUAUGAUGGUUGUUUGGAGGAAUAGCAAGAUCAGAUAUUUUGAAAUUUUUAAUUUACAUUUUGAUAUGUUUGGUGAUGAUUAUCACCUUAACAUAUGGUAUGGAUGAAACAUUGUGAUGUAUGGUUAAUAGAUAUGCUUGACUUUAGACUUAUAGAUGAUGAUAUUUAUAAUGAAUGAUUAUGGAUUCUCCAACAUUGUGUAUACUUCUAUUUGGAUGAGCAAAUGUAUUGUGCAAUAUGGAUAUUGGAUAGGCUGUGUUGGUUGUACAGGAUUUGGAACGAGCCCAAAAAUAAAUAUUAAGCUUAUAAUUUGAAUUGUUAAUUAAAUACAGGUUAAUACUU
This is a non-coding RNA of Phoenix dactylifera (date palm), 971 nucleotides long. The record is from RefSeq and is a predicted model, not a curated record. NCBI's taxonomy places the organism in Eukaryota, Viridiplantae, Streptophyta, Magnoliopsida, Arecales, Arecaceae.